GAUGAACGCUGGCGGCGUGCCUAAUACAUGCAAGUCGAUCGAACAGACGAGGAGCUUGCUCCUCUGACGUUAGCGGCGGACGGGUGAGUAACACGUGGAUAACCUACCUAUAAGACUGGGAUAACUUCGGGAAACCGGAGCUAAUACCGGAUAAUAUAUUGAACCGCAUGGUUCAAUAGUGAAAGACGGUUUUGCUGUCACUUAUAGAUGGAUCCGCGCCGCAUUAGCUAGUUGGUAAGGUAACGGCCUACCAAGGCAACGAUGCGUAGCCGACCUGAGAGGGUGAUCGGCCACACUGGAACUGAGACACGGUCCAGACUCCUACGGGAGGCAGCAGUAGGGAAUCUUCCGCAAUGGGCGAAAGCCUGACGGAGCAACGCCGCGUGAGUGAUGAAGGUCUUCGGAUCGUAAAACUCUGUUAUUAGGGAAGAACAAAUGUGUAAGUAACUAUGCACGUCUUGACGGUACCUAAUCAGAAAGCCACGGCUAACUACGUG
This 497-nucleotide ribosomal RNA is filed under the name uncultured bacterium. RNAcentral's name for it is "partial 16S ribosomal RNA". It matches the Rfam family "Bacterial small subunit ribosomal RNA", at positions 28 to 507 of the family's 1533-position model. The record is from RNAcentral.